AGGGGAGUGAAAAAGAACCUGAAACCGUGUACGUACAAGCAGUGGGAGCCUCUUUAUGGGGUGACUGCGUACCUUUUGUAUAAUGGGUCAGCGACUUAUAUUCUGUAGCAAGGUUAACCGAAUAGGGGAGCCGAAGGGAAACCGAGUCUUAACUGGGCGUUAAGUUGCAGGGUAUAGACCCGAAACCCGGUGAUCUAGCCAUGGGCAGGUUGAAGGUUGGGUAACACUAACUGGAGGACCGAACCGACUAAUGUUGAAAAAUUAGCGGAUGACUUGUGGCUGGGGGUGAAAGGCCAAUCAAACCGGGAGAUAGCUGGUUCUCCCCGAAAGCUAUUUAGGUAGCGCCUCGUGAAUUCAUCUCCGGGGGUAGAGCACUGUUUCGGCAAGGGGGUCAUCCCGACUUACCAACCCGAUGCAAACUGCGAAUACCGGAGAAUGUUAUCACGGGAGACACACGGCGGGUGCUAACGUCCGUCGUGAAGAGGGAAACAACCCAGACCGCCAGCUAAGGUCCCAAAGUCAUGGUUAAGUGGGAAACGAUGUGGGAAGGCCCAGACAGCCAGGAUGUUGGCUUAGAAGCAGCCAUCAUUUAAAGAAAGCGUAAUAGCUCACUGGUCGAGUCGGCCUGCGCGGAAGAUGUAACGGGGCUAAACCAUGCACCGAAGCUGCGGCAGCGACACUAUGUGUUGUUGGGUAGGGGAGCG
RNAcentral lists this ribosomal RNA (704 nucleotides) under Escherichia coli. RNAcentral's name for it is "partial 23S ribosomal RNA". It matches the Rfam family "Bacterial large subunit ribosomal RNA", at positions 532 to 1238 of the family's 2925-position model. The record is from RNAcentral. Lineage: Bacteria; Pseudomonadati; Pseudomonadota; Gammaproteobacteria; Enterobacterales; Enterobacteriaceae.